GACGAACGCUGGCGGCGUGCCUAAUACAUGCAAGUCGAACGCUUCCUACCGGUGCUUGCACCGGGAAAGAAGAGAGGCGGACGGGUGAGUAACACGUGGGUAACCUACCUACAAGCGGGGGAUAACAUUCGGAAACGGAUGCUAAUACCGCAUAGAUCUUUUUGUCUCCUGGCAGAAAGAAGAAAGACGGUUUCGGCUGUCACUGGUAGAUGGACCAGCGGCGCAUUAGUUAGUUGGUGAGGUAAUGGCUCACCAAGACGAUGAUGCGUAGCCGACCUAAGAGGGUGAUCGGCCACACUGGGACUGAGACACGGCCCAGACUCCUACGGGAGGCAGCAGUAGGGAAUCUUCCGCAAUGGACGAAAGUCUGACGGAGCAACGCCGCGUGAGUGAAGAAGGUUUUCGGAUCGUAAAACUCUGUUGUUAGAGAAGAACAAGGAUGAGAGUAACUGCUCGUCCCUUGACGGUAUCUAACCAGAAAGCCAUGGCUAACUACGUGCCAGCCGCCGCGGUAA
RNAcentral lists this ribosomal RNA (515 nucleotides) under uncultured bacterium. RNAcentral's name for it is "partial 16S ribosomal RNA". It matches the Rfam family "Bacterial small subunit ribosomal RNA", at positions 28 to 523 of the family's 1533-position model. The record is from RNAcentral.